AUGAGCAAAGCUCACCCUGCCAAGUUGAAAAAAUUUAUGGACAAGAAGUUAUCAUUGAAAUUAAAUGGUGGCAGACAUAAGGAAUAUUGCGGGGAUUUGAUCCCUUUAUGAACCUUGUGAUAGAUGAAUGUGUGGAGAUGGCGACUAGUGGGCAACAGAACAAUAUUGGAAUGGUGGUAAUACGAGGAAGUAGUAUCAUCAUGUUAGAAGCCUUGGAAUGAGUGUAAAUAAUGGCUGUUCAGCAGAGAAACCCAUGUUCUCUCUCCAUAGGGCCUGUUUUACUAUGAUGUAAAAUUAGGUCAUAUACAUUUUCAUAUUAGACUUUUGUUAAAUAAACUUUUGUAAUAGUCAAAAAUGCUUUCUCAGAUGUUCUGAAUAUAGAAUAUUAGCUCUCAUUCCAAUUUUUUCUAACAUGAAUUUUCCUGGUUGACACUGAUUUCAAAGGGUUUUAUGCAUUAAAGUGGAAGAAUCUUAUUAAAUGUG
Chlorocebus sabaeus (green monkey) is the source of this 483-nucleotide RNA transcript. It is a transcript of the gene named small nuclear ribonucleoprotein G pseudogene, with no coding region annotated. Lineage: Eukaryota; Metazoa; Chordata; Mammalia; Primates; Cercopithecidae. The record is from RefSeq and is a predicted model, not a curated record.